GGGUCGUUAGCUCAGUUGGUAGAGCAGUUGACUUUUAAUCAAUUGGUCGCAGGUUCGAAUCCUGCACGACCUA
RNAcentral lists this transfer RNA (73 nucleotides) under Salmonella enterica subsp. enterica serovar Typhimurium. RNAcentral describes it as "tRNA-Lys". It matches the Rfam family "tRNA". Rfam says of the family: Transfer RNA (tRNA) molecules are approximately 80 nucleotides in length. Their secondary structure includes four short double-helical elements and three loops (D, anti-codon, and T loops). The record is from RNAcentral. Lineage: Bacteria; Pseudomonadati; Pseudomonadota; Gammaproteobacteria; Enterobacterales; Enterobacteriaceae. RNAcentral also lists the same sequence under 4 other names.